Molecule: ribosomal RNA, 922 nt
Filed under: uncultured organism
Description: bacterial SSU rRNA
Rfam family: Bacterial small subunit ribosomal RNA
Source: RNAcentral
AUGCGGUAUGACGGUACCCUUUCGAAUAAGAGGUUGCUAACUCUGUGCCAGCAGCAGCGGUAAUACAGAGACCUCGAGCGUUAUCCGGAUUUACUGGGCGUAAAGCGUCUGUAGGGGGUUUGUUAAGUUCCAAGUAAAAUCUUAAGGCUCAACUUUAAGUUCGCUUGGAAAACUAAUAAACUGGAGUCCAGCAGAGGUGCAUGGAACUUGCGGUGUAGGAGUGAAAUCCGUUGAUAUCGCAAGGAACACCAAAGGCGAAGGCAUUGCACUGGGCUGGUACUGACCCUGAGAGACGAAAGCGUGGGGAGCAAAACGGAUUAGAUACCCGUGUAGUCCACGCCGUAAACGAUGGAUACUAGAUGUUCGGGGAUUCGACCCCCUGGGUGUCACAGCUAACGCGUUAAGUAUCCCGCCUGGGAAGUACGGCCGCAAGGCUAAAACUCAAAGGAAUAGACGGGGAUCCGCACAAGCGGUGGAGCGUCUGGUUUAAUUUGAUAGUAAGCAAUGGACCUCACCAAGGUUUGACAUCCUAUGACAACCCUGGAAACAGGGCUUCCUUCGGGCAUAGUGACAGGUGCUGCAUGGUCGUCGUCAGUUCGUGCCGUGAGGUGUUCCGUUAAGUCGGGAAACGAACGAAACCCCCGUCGCAUGUUACAAAUUUCAUGCGAGACUGCCCGGGUCAACCGGGAGGAAGGCGGGGAUGACGUCAGAUCAGCAUGGCCCUUAUACCUUGGGCUACACAGGCGCUACAAUGGCCGGUACAAAGGGUUGCAAAACCGCGAGGUGAAGCUAAUCCCAUAAAGCCGGUCCAAGUUCGGAUUGGAGGCUGCAACUCGCCUCCAUGAAGUUGGAAUCGCUAGUAAUCGUGGAUCAGCCAUACCACGGUGAAUACGUUCCCGGAUCUUGUACUCACCGCCCGUCA